UGCCUCCCCCAUUGUCCGAACGCGCGGGCCGCGGAGUCGGACACGAGGGGAGCCGGGCCGGCUCGCGAGUCCCGCUCUGCCGUGGGCGGGGAGUGAGGCCCGGAACAAAGGGCGCGGCUCCUCAUUUCAUGGCGCUCAGAGGGCCCCGUGGGAAGGGAAACAACCAGUCAGUAUGGAACGACAAAUUCUGGAGCGUAAGCGUUUCCUUGAAAGCACAAAUACUCCUCAGAGACCAUGACACCGGAUCAGCGACUGCAACCCUACUCUACAAGUCAGACAGACAAACGGAAUCAUUCUGCAGCCUCACACUCCACCAUUUAUCAAGAGCCUACUGGGAGCCGCGGGGCACUGUUCGUGGUGCUGGAACACGGCGCGUCCAGGGGGCGCUAGAGGGCGCCUGUGAGCUUCAGCCUUCAGGAGGAUGGGCCACGGCUAACACGGUGGGCGACCACGCAAGUCCAAAGGGAAGCCUGUGAAAACCGGGUGUCUGAAGACCAGGCCAGACGGUGCAGAGUGGAAAGCAGGAUGAGCCUGCCCUGAAGGGGGCUUCUGCCUGGAAGGCAGUCCCAGUGCCAUCAGAGAUCUGCUGGGCAGGAGUUCCGAUAAAGAUGCUCAAGUUUAAAACAUGGGUGUUUGUUUCACCCUACCGCAGGACAGGGCUCACCUGCGCGGCGGCAAUCCUAUGAGGUGGAUGAAACGAGGUGGCGGAAGCUCAGAAACAAAGCUGCUUUCCUAAAGCCAAACUGCUAUUCGGUGGUCAGGCUGGGUCUAAAACCCUAGUGUCUGAACGGAAGUCAGGGGGUUACCCCAAUAUCGAGCCGCAUGUGCAUCACCCACAAAUAAAGAGGCUCAUCACUAGGCAACGCUCCCCUGCA
Suricata suricatta (meerkat) is the source of this 875-nucleotide long non-coding RNA. RefSeq lists it as uncharacterized. The record is from RefSeq and is a predicted model, not a curated record. NCBI's taxonomy places the organism in Eukaryota, Metazoa, Chordata, Mammalia, Carnivora, Herpestidae. The transcript is spliced from 2 exons.